CCUACGGGUGGCAGCAGUGAGGAAUAUUGGUCAAUGGACGAGAGUCUGAACCAGCCAAGUAGCGUGAAGGAUGACUGCCCUAUGGGUUGUAAACUUCUUUUAUAUGGGAAUAAAACGUUCCACGUGUGGGAUUUUGUAUGUACCAUAUGAAUAAGGAUCGGCUAACUCCGGGCCAGCAGCCGAGGUAAUACGGAGGAUCCGAGCGUUAUCCGGAUUUAUUGGGUUUAAAGGGAGCGUAGGUGGAUUGUUAAGUCAGUUGUGAAAGUUUGCGGCUCAACCGUAAAAUUGCAGUUGAAACUGGCAGUCUUGAGUACAGGAGAGGUGGGCGGAAUUCGUGGUGUAGCGGUGAAAUGCUUAGAUAUCACGAAGAACUCCGAUUGCGAAGGCAGUUCACUGGACUGCAACUGACACUGAGGCUCGAAAGUGUGGGUAUCAAACAGGAUUAGAUACCCUGGUAGUC
This 460-nucleotide ribosomal RNA is filed under the name uncultured bacterium. RNAcentral's name for it is "partial 16S ribosomal RNA". It matches the Rfam family "Bacterial small subunit ribosomal RNA", at positions 338 to 795 of the family's 1533-position model. The record is from RNAcentral.